AGGGCACCACCAGGAGUGGAGCCUGCGGCUUAAUUUGACUCAACACGGGAAAACUCACCCGGCCCGGACACCGUAAGGAUUGACAGACUGAGAGCUCUUUCUUAAUUCGGUGGGUGGUGGUGCAUGGCCGUUCUUAGUUGGUGGAGCGAUUUGUCUGGUUAAUUCCGAUAACGAACGAGACUCUGGCCUAUUAAAUAGACGGUAAAUCUAGAAAAAGUAUACCGCGCUUCUUAGAGGGACAACCGGCGUCUAGCCGCGUGAAAUAGAGCAAUAACAGGUCUGUGAUGCCCUUAGAUGUCCGGGGCUGCACGCGCGCUACACUGAAAGAAUCAGUAUGCGCCGUCGCCUAGCUCGGAAGAACCGGGUAACCCGAGCAAAUUCUUUCGUGCUUGGGAUAGGGAAUUGCAAUUAUUUCCCUUAAACGAGGAAUUCCCAGUAAAUGCGGGUCAUAAGCUCGCGUUGAUUACGUCCCUGCCCUUUGUACACACCGCCCGUCGCUACUACCGAUUGGAUGACUUA
RNAcentral lists this ribosomal RNA (519 nucleotides) under uncultured eukaryote. RNAcentral's name for it is "SSU rRNA". It matches the Rfam family "Eukaryotic small subunit ribosomal RNA", at positions 1161 to 1700 of the family's 1831-position model. The record is from RNAcentral.